AGAAAUUUAGGUUAACCUAAACCAAGAGCCUUCAAAGCCCUAAAAAAGAGUACUAACCUCUUAAUUUCUG
RNAcentral lists this transfer RNA (70 nucleotides) under Varanus indicus (Mangrove monitor). Its description in RNAcentral is "tRNA-Trp". It matches the Rfam family "tRNA". Rfam says of the family: Transfer RNA (tRNA) molecules are approximately 80 nucleotides in length. Their secondary structure includes four short double-helical elements and three loops (D, anti-codon, and T loops). Further hydrogen bonds mediate the characteristic L-shaped molecular structure. tRNAs have two regions of fundamental functional importance: the anti-codon, which is responsible for specific mRNA codon recognition, and the 3' end, to which the tRNAs corresponding amino acid is attached (by aminoacyl-tRNA synthetases). tRNAs cope with the degeneracy of the genetic code in two manners: having more than one tRNA (with a specific anti-codon) for a particular amino acid; and 'wobble' base-pairing, i.e. permitting non-standard base-pairing at the 3rd anti-codon position. Lineage: Eukaryota; Metazoa; Chordata; Lepidosauria; Squamata; Varanidae. The record is from RNAcentral.